Molecule: non-coding RNA, 29 nt
Filed under: Mus musculus (house mouse)
Lineage: Eukaryota; Metazoa; Chordata; Mammalia; Rodentia; Muridae
Source: RNAcentral
UAAAAAAGAAAGGUGCUGGCCGAUCCAUC